GCCUACGGGAGGCAGCAGUGAGGAAUAUUGGUCAAUGGUCGGGAGACUGAACCAGCCAAGCCGCGUGAGGGGGGAAGAUACAGAGUAUCGUAAACCUCUUUUGCCAGGGAACAAAGGCGGGGACGUGUCCCCGGAUGAGUGUACCUGAAGAAAAAGCAUCGGCUAACUCCGUGCCAGCAGCCGCGGUAAUACGGAGGAUGCGAGCGUUAUCCGGAUUUAUUGGGUUUAAAGGGUGCGCAGGCGGUCUUUUAAGUCUGAUGUGAAAGCCUUCGGCUUAACCGGAGUAGUGCAUUGGAAACUGGGAG
This 305-nucleotide ribosomal RNA is filed under the name uncultured bacterium. RNAcentral's name for it is "bacterial SSU rRNA". It matches the Rfam family "Bacterial small subunit ribosomal RNA", at positions 337 to 639 of the family's 1533-position model. The record is from RNAcentral.